This 253-nucleotide ribosomal RNA is filed under the name uncultured bacterium. Its description in RNAcentral is "partial 16S ribosomal RNA". It matches the Rfam family "Bacterial small subunit ribosomal RNA", at positions 524 to 776 of the family's 1533-position model. The record is from RNAcentral.
UACGUAGGGGGCUAGCGUUGUCCGGAAUCAUUGGGCGUAAAGAGCGCGUAGGCGGCCAGAUAAGUCCGGUGUGAAAGUCACAGGCUCAACCUGUGAAUGCCGCUGGAAACUGUCCGGCUAGAGUUCGGUAGGGGAGACUGGAAUUCCUGGUGUAGCGGUGAAAUGCGCAGAUAUCAGGAGGAACACCGGUGGCGAAGGCGGGUCUCUGGGCCGAUACUGACGCUGAGGAGCGAAAGCGUGGGGAGCGAACAGG